CACGUAGGGGGCAAGCGUUGUCCGGAUUUAUUGGGCGUAAAGAGCUCGUAGGCGGCUUAGUAAGUCGGGUGUGAAACCUCCAGGCUCAACCUGGAGACGCCACCCGAUACUGCUGUGGCUAGAGUCCGGUAGGGGAGCGUGGAAUUCCUGGUGUAGCGGUGAAAUGCGCAGAUAUCAGGAGGAAUACCGGUGGCGAAGGCGGCAUCCUGGACCGGCAUUGACGCUGAGUGAGCGAAAGCCAGGGGAGCAAACGGG
RNAcentral lists this ribosomal RNA (255 nucleotides) under uncultured bacterium. RNAcentral's name for it is "partial 16S ribosomal RNA". It matches the Rfam family "Bacterial small subunit ribosomal RNA", at positions 524 to 776 of the family's 1533-position model. The record is from RNAcentral.